This 414-nucleotide ribosomal RNA is filed under the name uncultured Gammaproteobacteria bacterium. RNAcentral describes it as "bacterial SSU rRNA". It matches the Rfam family "Bacterial small subunit ribosomal RNA", at positions 9 to 419 of the family's 1533-position model. Lineage: Bacteria; Pseudomonadati; Pseudomonadota; Gammaproteobacteria. The record is from RNAcentral.
GAGUUUGAUCCUGGCUCAGAUUGAACGCUGGCGGCAUGCCUAACACAUGCAAGUCGAACGGCAGCACGGCAGUAGCAAUACUGUGGGUGGCGAGUGGCGGACGGGUGAGGAAUACGCCGGAAUCUGCCCAGUCGUGGGGGAUAACUAGCCGAAAGGUUAGCUAAUACCGCAUACGACCGAGAGGUGAAAGCGGCGGACCGCAAGGCGUCGCGCGAUUGGAUGAGCCGAUGUCCGAUUAGCUAGUUGGCGGGGUAAAGGCCCACCAAGGCGACGAUCGGUAGCUGGUCUGAGAGGAUGAUCAGCCACACUGGAACUGAGACACGGUCCAGACUCCUACGGGAGGCAGCAGUGGGGAAUAUUGGACAAUGGGCGCAAGCCUGAUCCAGCCAUGCCGCGUGUGUGAAGAAGGCCUUC